AGCCACUUAAAGAAUAAAAUCGCAUUAGUCCAUCAACGACUUCCUAUUAUCGUCCUUAGCAAUCGACUCUCUUCCAGAAUGGAAACCCCACCCUUCGACUUCUCACUGUCUGAGUCAGUUUUAAGCAAACACAAAACAACAACGGCGUGAUACGGAGGUGCAAAAUCUGCUGAAAGUAAUAGAAACCCAGGACAUACCUACUUUAAACUCGGAUGGCAAGAAGAAUUAGCUCUGAGCUAUUUAUAAGCAGAUUGUCGUUUUACACCACAGUGGAAGAAUUGAAAAGUUUAUUCUCUCCGUUUGGCGCAGUCUCCGAAGUAAUCUACCCGGCACUGAUCUUAAACUUUCACUCAAUCUCGUGGAUGAUGACUGUGUUUAAUGCAGCAAGGCUUAUCAAAGACCCAAGAACACAAAGGCCUAAAGGAUUUGCCUUUGUGAAAUUUGCAUCAGAAGUCAAUGCCCAGAAUGCAGUGAAGGCUAUGAAUGGCAGGGCUUUUCAUAGCAGUCUUAACUCUUAAUUAUUCCGCCUAAAGAAGAGGAUGUUACUGUUUGCCUUUUUUGGGGAAUCUUCUGUUGUUCACUUCAAUAUGCUUUGUCUACAUUCCCAUAGUGGAUGUUCCAUAACCUAUUUGCAGAUAGUGAAUGGAAGAUUGAUUUUUGUAGAAUUUGCAGAGAGUACAAGAUCAGCUGAAACGUCAUCCUGAAAGUUGGUUAAUUUUCUUUACUUAGGAUAUCUGUACGGGAUAUCUAAAUUGUGUAUCCAAAUUCAGUUCAUAUGGGAGAACUUUUGACGGUUUCGCAGUCUUCUUUACUGCUAUUGCCUGUGUUUUGGCUUUGAGUUCCAAAUCAACAACCGGUUUCUAUUGGUCGCAUCCAGGCAUCAUUAUCUGAUAAUUUAUGUAUGAGAUUCUUGGUGCGGGAAGCGAUAAUAAAAUUCUUGUAAUAAGAAUUAUGUAAUAAAUAAAAACGAUAUUUGAACAA
This is an RNA transcript of Olea europaea var. sylvestris, 981 nucleotides long. It is a transcript of the gene named glycine-rich RNA-binding protein 4, mitochondrial-like, with no coding region annotated. The transcript is spliced from 6 exons. NCBI's taxonomy places the organism in Eukaryota, Viridiplantae, Streptophyta, Magnoliopsida, Lamiales, Oleaceae. The record is from RefSeq and is a predicted model, not a curated record.